UACAGAAUCCCCGAGCGUUACCCGGAUUUAUUGGGCGUAAAGGGUUCGUAGGUGGUAAAGUAAGUUACAAAUUAAACUUCAUCGGCUUAACCUUUGAACUGUUUGUAAUACUGCUAUACUAAGAGGGCGUUAGAGGCUAACGGAACCGACAGAGUAGGGGUGAAAUCCGUUGAUAUUGUCGGGAACACCAAAUGCGAAGGCAGUUAGCUGGGACGACCCUGACACUGAGGAACGAAAGCGUGGGGAGCAAAAAGG
This 255-nucleotide ribosomal RNA is filed under the name uncultured bacterium. RNAcentral describes it as "partial 16S ribosomal RNA". It matches the Rfam family "Bacterial small subunit ribosomal RNA", at positions 524 to 776 of the family's 1533-position model. The record is from RNAcentral.